This is a long non-coding RNA of Canis lupus familiaris (dog), 255 nucleotides long. RefSeq lists it as uncharacterized. The record is from RefSeq and is a predicted model, not a curated record. NCBI's taxonomy places the organism in Eukaryota, Metazoa, Chordata, Mammalia, Carnivora, Canidae. The transcript has 3 exons.
AGAUAAGAAGAGAUUUACAUUCAAGACUCAGGAUUGUUAUUUUCAUACCAAAGGAAGAAAUAAUCUUUCCAGAAAACUCAACAAAUGGACACUGCAUUACAGCUAGGAUUCUGAAUGGACAGAGCAAUUUGAACAUUUCCCUUCUCAGCAAUUUUGAAAAUUUAUUAUAAUUAUUUAUAUAAUUAUUUGUGUGAAUAAAAUGUGACUAUUCUGUUCAAUACUUAUCCCAUUGGAACUACCAGUAUCUUGCAGAUU